GGGGUAGUAAAGGUUUCGACAGGGGUAAUGCAGCUGGAGAAGCUAUCCGCACGCAAUGCGUUAAAUGGCAAAUCUAAAUAUAAACGCUAACGACAGAGUAGCAUUAGCAGCCUAAGCGCUGCUUGUCCGCCCGGGUUCACCUACAAAUCCGGAUACGGGCAUCAUGAAUUGUAGGAAACGGCAUAUGUUAAGCUUUGCGCAUAUGUACGUAUUAUGAAGCUACCGAGGCACGGAGGAUGUUGUUCUCCGCCGGGUUGAGGGAAUAAUAAACGAACAACUACGAUAGUAGAAGGACAGGGAAUUUAUCUUUGGACACGGGUUCGACUCCCGUCUACUCCAC
Molecule: transfer-messenger RNA, 340 nt
Filed under: bovine gut metagenome
Rfam family: transfer-messenger RNA
About the family: Bacterial tmRNA, also known as 10Sa RNA or SsrA, is named for its dual tRNA and mRNA-like properties. Its role is to liberate the mRNA from a stalled ribosome. To accomplish this part of the tmRNA is used as a reading frame that ends in a translation stop signal.
Source: RNAcentral